CGAUUUCAAAGACGUCGUUCACAGGCUUUGCUGAUUGUAAUGGGAAGUGCUCCAGUAACGCGAUGUGACGCAGGUCGAGUGGGCGGGACUUCAUGUGCGCUGCGCUCCUCUGUCAUCUGUAAAGUGUGAAUGAAGUGAAGCGGAUUUGCAUCAGACAAACAAAGCACAGGUAGGCACUCAUACAGAUGAUCUGACAGGAAGAUUAUUCGAAUACCUUCUGCUGGGAAGCCGACUGGGAUUACCACAGUUUCACAGUUCCUUGUAACAGCGGUUUUAUGCAUAGAAGACAUGAAGGACCUUUCUAACUGACUCAUCCAUGUCAUGUGGAUAUUAUCUGAGCUGUGAACCCCACCAUGGAAGAAACAUUCUGUGAUGUGUCCUCAGUCGUGGAGUCUAGUCUCUACCACAAUGUCCAUUCCAUCCUCAGAGAACUGGACUGUAAACCUCAGGCUGGAUCAGCCUGCAAUAAAGGUAUCUGCUUUACUAUGAAAAUCUAAACUAAAAGGUCAUACAAAUCU
This 518-nucleotide long non-coding RNA is filed under the name Sinocyclocheilus grahami. RNAcentral describes it as "lncRNA (ENSSGRG00000015777.1)". The record is from RNAcentral. Lineage: Eukaryota; Metazoa; Chordata; Actinopteri; Cypriniformes; Cyprinidae.